Molecule: ribosomal RNA, 253 nt
Filed under: uncultured bacterium
Lineage: Bacteria
Description: partial 16S ribosomal RNA
Rfam family: Bacterial small subunit ribosomal RNA
Source: RNAcentral
GACAGAGGUGCCGAGCGUUAGGCGGAAUCACUGGGCUUAAAGCGUGUGUAGGCGGAUCUGUAAGUACCUUGUGAAAUCCUACGGCUCAACCGUGGAACUGCUUGGUAUACUGCGGGUCUUGAGCCACCUAGGGGCAAGUGGAACAAACGGUGGAGCGGUGAAAUGCGUAGAUAUCGUUUGGAACGCCAAUGGUGAAAACAACUUGCUGGGGGUGUGCUGACGCUGAGACACGAAAGCCAGGGGAGCAAACGGG